AGUGUAUCGAGUAACAAGACAACAGCUUGUCUCUCCAGCGUAUUUGAACCGUCAAGACUUAGCCUAUACCAAAUUUCUGAGCUUGUGAACCAUGAUCUGGAUACGAGUUGCAAUUUCUGAUUAUCUUUGGACUAUCAUUUAGUUCAGCCUUUUUCGGUCUUUUCCGGUUUUGCGUUAACUUCACACAAACUACUGGACUUGUGACGCAGCAAUGUACAUUAUGUAACAGACUGCUAUUUAGUAACACGCUUUUGUCGUGUUUAGGAACG
This is a long non-coding RNA of Limulus polyphemus (Atlantic horseshoe crab), 269 nucleotides long. RefSeq lists it as uncharacterized. The record is from RefSeq and is a predicted model, not a curated record. Lineage: Eukaryota; Metazoa; Arthropoda; Merostomata; Xiphosura; Limulidae. The transcript has 5 exons.